This 1369-nucleotide unclassified non-coding RNA is filed under the name Hevea brasiliensis (rubber tree). The record is from RNAcentral. Lineage: Eukaryota; Viridiplantae; Streptophyta; Magnoliopsida; Malpighiales; Euphorbiaceae.
AUUUUGAUUUCUCCACCAUAUUAUCACUAUCUCAAUAAAAGAAAAAAAUUACCAUACCCCUAACACCUAAGGGGGUCAUAAAUCUGUUUGUGCAUCAACUUAAAUACAGUUUAUGGACCCUUCCAAGCACCAAAAGCGACGGAGAGCAAAAUGUAGACUGAAAAUGAACAAAUAUCGAUCUUAUAAGAAACUACACGCUCCUAUAAACAAUUAUUGUCAUUUGUUAUCGACGAGAUCUGCACACGUGAUUUUAAAUGAGAGAUAGUCGGCAUUGUGUUUCUUAACAGUCCAAAGCUUUAACUUCUUUUGUAAAUUAGCCUGAAAAGUUCCCAGCAAAGUCAUUCACAAUGUUCUCUGAGUACAAGCAAGUGCAGUUAUAGGCAUGGUUGACACCAUAAUUUGCAGUAGAUAUGGACGGAUGGAUGUCUAACCGCGCUUCAGUGACGCCUUCCUAUGUACAUCAUGGUUUUGUUAACCAGUGGCAACUCAGCUGAAUCCUUCCGUGCUCCUAACACUUUCUGGCUGGUAUAAGGAGGAGGGCAAAAUAUGAUCAAGUAAUCAGCAGAGGCACAAGUGAAGGUACUAGUCUUAUCAUCAUAAGCAUAACUAUAAGAGCGUGGGCACGCGUGCUUGAAAAAGAGCGAGUAGCUCGAAGGGUGACACGUGUCAGGCGUAUUAUACGCUUCACUGCAACAGUAAAUCGGAUCAUUAAACGCCAAACACGCGCUCUUACAUCCAACACUUUCACCCCCACUCGCAACCCUCAAAUCUCUCGGACACGCGCCGUUCAAAUCCACUAAACAUCCCGUCGCACUGCAUCCCCCUGUACCUCCUUUAGCAACUAUGAGCAUCGGAAGGUUGUACCCAUCCACAAGGCUGACGUCAUAGAAAUCCAAGCCCUGAUCUCCGUUUAGAGUAAACUCCGCUAAACUCGCCGGCGGUAUUGCACCCGCUCCGGCGCAUUCCACUUUACCGGACCCGCAGUCUCCGGUGACGCAGGUGAAUUUACCAGUGGAGGGUUCGUUGGAGCAGAGGGUCCGACCCCAAACCCGACCCGACCAAGCUCUGGGCAUUUUCAGAGUCUUGGAUUUGCCACUUUUAAGAACGAACCCGGUUGGAUUAACAGGUGCUCUGUCAGCUCCGGUUAGUAUUCCUGGCCAUACUGUGUGGCGGCACCUAUUUACUAUCUUGAAAGUUGUUGACUGCACCUCUGAGAAGAGAGAGAAAGUGAUGAGAAGAAGGGAGAGAAAGAUAAGAAGACGAUCCAUUGAUGAUGAAUAGUGAGUGAGUGAUUUUCAGGUUUCAAAGUUGUUAACUUUUUCUUUUUCAUUUUAAUUGGGUUAUUGAGGUCCAGAAGAAUAAAACAAAA